RNAcentral lists this unclassified non-coding RNA (351 nucleotides) under Hevea brasiliensis (rubber tree). Lineage: Eukaryota; Viridiplantae; Streptophyta; Magnoliopsida; Malpighiales; Euphorbiaceae. The record is from RNAcentral.
GUUUUUUUUGUGGGAGGUUUUGGUAGUGUGUAUAUUUUUAGUUUUUAAGUUUUUUGUAAGGAUGUUUGGUUUUUAGGUUUGAAGGGAAGGUGAGAGUUGAGUUGAGGUAGUAGUUAGGUAUUAUUUAUGGUUUUUAUAUUUUUGUAGUUUGUUUUUUUUUGGGUGUGAAUGUUAGAAGUUGGGUAGGGUUUGGGGAGGUUUGUUUAGUAUAGAGUAGUUUUUUGGUUGGGGUUUUGUGUUAUUGUGUUUGGGUGUAGAGUUGGAGUUUUGUUGGUGUGGAAGUUUAUUUGGUUUUUUUUAGUAUAGGUUUGUAAGUAUUUGUUGGUAGUUAGUUUUUUUUUUUUUGUGUUU